RNAcentral lists this ribosomal RNA (1433 nucleotides) under uncultured bacterium. RNAcentral's name for it is "partial 16S ribosomal RNA". The record is from RNAcentral.
GUAUCUACUACGGACUGCGNUCGCNGUNUAUGCAUCUAGCAUUNGGCCGNUUGUUNCUAUGGAUCUCAGCACNUGGACCGCUGGUUGUGCACAGCUUAACACAUGCGAAUGUCGAGCGGGGAAGGUUGCUUCGGUAACUGACCUAGCGGCGGACGGGUGANUAACUGCUUAGGAAUCUGCCCAUUAGUGGGGGCACAACACUUCCGUCACANAGUGAUAAUGACUAGAUACCGACAUACGCAUCACUCACGAGAGCAGAAAGCAGAGGUGAUCUAUCGAGUACCUUGCCGCUAAAAUGAAUGAGCCUAAGCUCUGUGAUUUAUGCCUAGCUAUGUGUUGGGCGUAACAGGUGCUCAUACCCAAGGCGAACGAUGCGUGCUAUGCAGUGGGAUCUUGGAAGCAGUGCANUUGCACUCCCGCCCUACCACUUCGGGGGACUUUGGAUGCAACCACGGCCCAAGAACUUCCUACGUGGGACGCGACAACAGUCAAGGUGUGAGUGGGGANUAAAUUUUGAGAACAACUAGGAGGGCUGUGGAACGCCCUUCGGGUACCAGCCAACUUAGCCCAGGCCCGNUAAGAUUACGUAUGCAUAACAGACAAGGAGGCCCUUAAAUUAGUGAUAUGGUAAACAACAGCCCAACAUUAUUACUAACUCCGCCCGCAAUGUGCGGCAACGCGGNACGUGGCUUAAACCCAACGUUAAAUAUAAAGUUAACCUUNAACCUUAGUGAUUCAUCGCUUAGAGGCACCGUUUACCUUACCAGCCAAGAGAAUUAAAAUAUGGGCCCAACCACCACGGNCGGGCNGUUAAGNAACCACAUCCUGUAAGGUUUACGGCCACCCAAGGCCGAAAUGAUCACCCAGGGCAUGGCGGGGUAAAAACUUUAACCACACGGGCAACGGAAGGCGGUUUAUAGCCUGAAACCGGCCCCGGUUAUNUAGACAACUUUCCUCGGGGGUGGAACUUNUUUUAGAGCCUCUUGGAGAGACGUCUGGGUUUAAAACCACCGGCCCGGUUAUAGCCCAGGCUNAUUAUAGUGCCGCNCGGACNUNAUCUUUAUUUAGAACACAGCAUCUCCCGGCNAGCUCUNGUACUUCACACCAAGAGUUGACCCCCCCCCCGCGAAAGNGGCUCCUUUAUAAAACCUUAUGAGGCGGGGGAAAAGACUNUUGCGCGCGUAUUUCCCNACAUUAACCCUUUGGGGGGCCAAAAGAGCCAAAACAACAGNCAAUUNUGAGGGNANCGCAAANGGAGACUUGAGUGCGUACGCAAGNNAGNAUUUCCCAACGAGGGUUACAACGUCGCACCAAAUCAGCUAUAAUCAUGAACACUAUUGACACAAGCCAANCACAUCAUACACAAUCACAGCAACCAACNAACCAUCACANACACACACACCCANAAGCNCANAAACAACCUAUCGAUCCCA